This 505-nucleotide ribosomal RNA is filed under the name uncultured bacterium. RNAcentral's name for it is "bacterial SSU rRNA". It matches the Rfam family "Bacterial small subunit ribosomal RNA", at positions 8 to 502 of the family's 1533-position model. The record is from RNAcentral.
AGAGUUUGAUCCUGGCUCAGAACGAACGCUGGCGGCGUGGCUAAGACAUGCAAGUCAAACGGACUAGUGUAUUUAUAUAUUAGUCAGUGGCGAAAGGGUUAGUAAUGGUUAGGUAACGUACCCCGUGCUUCAGGAUAACGUCUAUUCCGAUUCGUCGAAAUUUCCGAAAGGGGCGGUAAUACUGAAUAACAUCGUGGAUCGAUAGGUCUACGAUCAAAGAUUUAUCGGCGUGGGAGCGGCCUAAUUCCUAUCAGCUUGUUGGUGAGGUAACGGCUCACCAAGGCUUUGACGGGUAGCGGGACUGAGAGGUUGACCCGCAACAUCGGGACUGAGACACUGCCCGGACCUCCACGGAGGGCUGCAGUAACGAAUAUUGGGCAAUGGGCGAAAGCCUGACCCAGCGACGCCGCGUGCGGGAGGAAGUCCUUCGGGAUGUAAACCGCUGUCAGGGCUAAGAAAGUGUGCUUCGGCACAUUGAUCUACCCCAGAGGAAGUCACGCUAACU